This 253-nucleotide unclassified non-coding RNA is filed under the name uncultured Bradymonadales bacterium. Its description in RNAcentral is "contains 16S-23S intergenic spacer region". It matches the Rfam family "Bacterial small subunit ribosomal RNA", at positions 524 to 776 of the family's 1533-position model. Lineage: Bacteria; Deltaproteobacteria; Bradymonadales. The record is from RNAcentral.
GACGGAGGGUGCAAGCGUUGUUCGGAAUCAUUGGGCGUAAAGGGCGCGCAGGCGGCCUGCCCAGUCCGGUGUGAAAGCCCGAGGCUCAACUUCGGAGGUGCAUCGGAUACUGGCAGGCUUGAGUCCGAGAGGGGACCGUGGAAUUCCUGGUGUAGGGGUGAAAUCCGUAGAGAUCAGGAGGAACACCGGAGGUGAAAACGACGGUCUGGAUCGGGACUGACGCUGAGGCGCGAAAGCGCGGGUAGCGAACAGG